UUCGAAGCGGGACGGGAAACGGGAGCUUGCUCCCGGGAUGUUAGCGGCGGACGGGUGAGUAACACGUGGGUAACCUGCCUGUAAGACUGGGAUAACUCCGGGAAACCGGAGCUAAUACCGGAUAGUUCCUUGAACCGCAUGGUUCAAGGAUGAAAGACGGUUUCGGCUGUCACUUACAGAUGGACCCGCGGCGCAUUAGCUAGUUGGUGAGGUAACGGCUCACCAAGGCGACGAUGCGUAGCCGACCUGAGAGGGUGAUCGGCCACACUGGGACUGAGACACGGCCCAGACUCCUACGGGAGGCAGCAGUAGGGAAUCUUCCGCAAUGGACGAAAGUCUGACGGAGCAACGCCGCGUGAGUGAUGAAGGUUUUCGGAUCGUAAAGCUCUGUUGUUAGGGAAGAACAAGUGCAAGAGUAACUGCUUGCACCUUGACGGUACCUAACCAGAAAGCCACGGCUAACUACGUGCCAGCAGCCGCGGUAAUACGUAGGUGGCAAGCGUUGUCCGGAAUUAUUGGGCGUAAAGGGCUCGCAGGCGGUUUCUUAAGUCUGAUGUGAAAGCCCCCGGCUCAACCGGGGAGGGUCAUUGGAAACUGGGAAACUUGAGUGCAGAAGAGGAGAGUGGAAUUCCACGUGUAGCGGUGAAAUGCGUAGAGAUGUGGAGGAACACCAGUGGCGAAGGCGACUCUCUGGUCUGUAACUGACGCUGAGGAGCGAAAGCGUGGGGAGCGAACAGGAUUAGAUACCCUGGUAGUCCACGCCGUAAACGAUGAGUGCUAAGUGUAAGGGGGUUUCCGCCCCUUAGUGCUGCAGCUAACGCAUUAAGCACUCCGCCUGGGGAGUACGGUCGCAAGACUGAAACUCAAAGAAUUGACGGGGCCCGCACAAGCGGUGGAGCAUGUGGUUUAAUUCAAAUCACGCGAGAACCUUACCUGCCUGACAUCGUCGUGACACCCAGUGAAGAGGCUUCCUUCGGGACAAAUGACGGGGGGGUUGGGUUGGUU
This 1005-nucleotide ribosomal RNA is filed under the name Bacillus aerius. Its description in RNAcentral is "bacterial SSU rRNA". It matches the Rfam family "Bacterial small subunit ribosomal RNA", at positions 61 to 1054 of the family's 1533-position model. The record is from RNAcentral. Lineage: Bacteria; Bacillati; Bacillota; Bacilli; Caryophanales; Bacillaceae.